Molecule: long non-coding RNA, 279 nt
Filed under: Homo sapiens (human)
Lineage: Eukaryota; Metazoa; Chordata; Mammalia; Primates; Hominidae
Description: lncAB293.1
Source: RNAcentral
AUACAAAAUUAGCCGGGUGUGGUGGUGCAUGCCUGUAAUCCCAGCUACUCGGGAGACUGAGGCAGAAGAACCGCUUGAACCCAGGAGAUGGAGGUUUGCAGUGAGCAGAGAACACGCCAUUGCACUCCAACCUGGGCAACAAGAGCAAAACUACGUCUCAAAAAAAAAAAAAAUACAAACAAUUAGCCAGGCAUGGUGGUGCACGCCUAUAAUCCCAGCUACUCAGGAAGAUGAAGCAGCAGAAUCGCUUGAACCCGGGAGGCAGAGGUUGCGGUGAGC